CAAUAAGCGGAGGAAAAGAAACUAACAAGGAUUCCCCUAGUAACUGCGAGUGAAGCGGGAAGAGCUCAAAUUUAAAAUCUGGCGGUCUUUGGCUGUCCGAGUUGUAAUUUAGAGAAGCGUCUUCCGCGCCGGACCGUGCACAAGUCUCCUGGAAUGGAGCGUCAUAGAGGGUGAGAAUCCCGUCUUUGGCACGGACCCCCCGGGGCUUCUGUGAUGCGCUCUCGAAGAGUCGAGUUGUUUGGGAAUGCAGCUCAAAAUGGGUGGUGAACUCCAUCUAAAGCUAAAUAUUGGCGAGAGACCGAUAGCGAACAAGUACCGUGAGGGAAAGAUGAAAAGCACUUUGGAAAGAGAGUGAAACAGUACGUGAAAUUGUUGAAAGGGAAACGCUUGGAGUCAGUCGUGUCGGCCGAGACUCAGCCUCGCCUUGGCUUGGCGUACUUCUCGACCGACGGGCCAGCAUCAAUUUUGUCUCUCGGAUAAUGGCAAGGGAAAGGUGGCACCCUUUUUGGGUGUGUUAUAGUCUCCUGUCGAAUGCGAGGGGUGGGAUUGAGGGACUCAGCACGCGCCCACUCGGCGUCGGGGCUUCGGCCCACGUUUACGUGCUUAGGAUGCUGGCGUAAUGGCUCCAAACGACCCGUCUUGAAACACGGACCAAGGAGUCUAACAUGCCUGCGAGUAUUUGGGUGGAAAACCCAUGUGCGAAAUGAAAGUGAAAGUUGGGACCUCUGUCGUAGAGGGCACCGACGCCCGGACCAGACCUUCUGUGACGGAUCUGCGGUAGAGCAUGCAUGUUGGGACCCGAAAGAUGGUGAACUAUGCCUGAAUAGGGUGAAGCCAGAGGAAACUCUGGUGGAGGCUCGUAGCGAUUCUGACGUGCAAAUCGAUCGUCAAAUUUGGGUAUAGGGGCGAAAGACUAAUCGAACCAUCUAGUAGCUGGUUCCUGC
Molecule: ribosomal RNA, 944 nt
Filed under: Lactifluus nodosicystidiosus
Lineage: Eukaryota; Fungi; Basidiomycota; Agaricomycetes; Russulales; Russulaceae
Description: eukaryotic LSU rRNA
Rfam family: Eukaryotic large subunit ribosomal RNA
Source: RNAcentral